CCAGUUGGAGUGCCCUAGAGAAUCACCAGAGGGCACUCCACAUCUGAACUGAUCACUCCCACCAGAACUCCGUUUCCCAUAAUGCCUCUUCCCUGUGACUGAUUACACACACACCUGCACCUCAUUUCAGACUGCCUAUAUAAGCUACACUCAUACAAGGACUCUUUGCGAAGUAUUGCAUUGCCACGGCUUGUAAUUUCUGAGCGUAUCUCCUGUUUCUGGUUUCUCUGGUUUUGAUCCUGGUUUGUUUCCUGACUGCUGCCUGUUUGCUGCCUGCCCUGAUCUUCUGCCUGUUACCUGACGACUCUCUGCGCUCACUCUCUGAUAUCCCUGUUUUGCUGUUUCCUGACCCCUGCCUGUUUGAUGAUUCUAAAUAAAGCUGCACAUGGAUCUCAUCUCAUCUCCAGCUUUGUAACAGUAAAUAUGUGUCAUCUUUCAGGAUUUCUGCAAGACGAGGGCCGUUCCCACAUGUCUUCUCCUCAACCUGAAAUACCACCCAUAAGCAUGUGCAGACACACAUCAGCCAGGGUCAGAUUAUAAAAGAGCGUGUACUAUACAUUGAAGAGGAUCCUGGCUGGUCUCGCUGCCUGCCCAGCUCUGGAUGAGGGCGAAUGAAGGGGUGUGUGUGUUUUGCUCCUGAAACACACUCAGUAGCUUACUGACUGAGUUGACAACAAGCAUGUGUGUGGUGUUCACAAUCAGAUAAUCAGCCAUUCUGAUGAAACUAUGGAGACCAAGAAAAAUAUUAGACAGUUCACCAAGAAAAUUAGUUUUUUUGUAACUUA
Molecule: non-coding RNA, 785 nt
Organism: Pimephales promelas (fathead minnow)
Lineage: Eukaryota; Metazoa; Chordata; Actinopteri; Cypriniformes; Leuciscidae
Source: RefSeq, a predicted model, not a curated record